GACGAACGCUGGCGGCGCGCUUAACACAUGCAAGUCGAACGGAAAGGCCUGCUUUCCCUUGUGGAUUGCGGGUACUCGAGUGGCGAACGGGUGAGUAACACGUGAGUGAUCUGCCCCCAACUUGGGUAUAAGCCUGGGAAACUGGGUCUAAUUCCCGAUAGGACUGCAGGGUGGUGCCUGUGGUGGAAAACGAUUUUCUAGUGGUUGGGGAUGAGCUCGCGGCCUAUCAGCUUGUUGGUGGGGUAAUGGCCUACCAAGGCGGCGACGGGUAGCCGGCCUGAGAGGGUGGACGGCCACAUUGGGACUGAGAGACGGCCCAGACUCCUACGGGAGGCAGCAGUGGGGAAUAUGGCACAAUGGGCGGAAGCCUGAUGCAGCGACGCCGCGUGGGGGAUGACGGCCUUCGGGUUGUAAACUCCUUUCGACCGCGAGGAAGCCACCUGGUUGGAAGGGUGGUGACGGUAGUGGUAGAAGAAGCACCGGCUAACUACGUG
This 494-nucleotide ribosomal RNA is filed under the name uncultured bacterium. RNAcentral's name for it is "partial 16S ribosomal RNA". It matches the Rfam family "Bacterial small subunit ribosomal RNA", at positions 28 to 507 of the family's 1533-position model. The record is from RNAcentral.